RNAcentral lists this ribosomal RNA (314 nucleotides) under uncultured eukaryote. RNAcentral describes it as "partial 18S ribosomal RNA". It matches the Rfam family "Eukaryotic small subunit ribosomal RNA", at positions 1470 to 1796 of the family's 1831-position model. The record is from RNAcentral.
CCCUUAGAUGUUCUGGGCCGCACGCGCGCUACAAUGGCAGACUCAGCGAGUUACCUCUGUCGAAAGGCACAGGGGAUCUUUACAGUAUCUGCCGUGAUGGGGAUAGACCCUUGUAAUUUUUGGUCUUCAACGAGGAAUUCCUAGUAAACGCAAGUCAUUAACUUGCAUUGAUUACGUCCCUGCCCUUUGUACACACCGCCCGUCGCACCUACCGAUUGAAUGGUCCGGUGAAGUCCUCGGACCCAGUUGAACCUCGAGUUGAACAGGGAAAGUUGACUAAAUCUUACCAUUUAGAGGAAGGUGAAGUCGUAACA